UACGAAGGGAGCGAGCGUUGUUCGGAAUCACUGGGCUUAAAGCGUGCGUAGGCGGAUAUGUAAGUCAGAAGUGAAAUCCCGGGGCUUAACCCCGGAACUGCUUUUGAGACUGCAAGUCUAGAAUUCGGUAGAGGUUAGUGGAAUAUCCAGUGUAGAGGUGAAAUUCGCAGAUAUUGGAUGGAACACCAGUGGCGAAGGCGACUAACUGGGCCGACAUUGACGCUGAGGCACGAAAGCGUGGGUAGCAAACAGG
RNAcentral lists this ribosomal RNA (253 nucleotides) under uncultured bacterium. RNAcentral describes it as "partial 16S ribosomal RNA". It matches the Rfam family "Bacterial small subunit ribosomal RNA", at positions 524 to 776 of the family's 1533-position model. The record is from RNAcentral. RNAcentral also lists the same sequence under 1 other name.